GAACUUGUUUGAAAUGGAAUGCAGAUUAAGAUCAAUGAGUACCAUUAAUUUUUUUGAAAUCGAUCUGUGGAGAGGUAAAUUCGAGCAUUAUCUACGGAACUGUAUAUCUUUUGAGAUUAAUUUGA
Long non-coding RNA from Sipha flava (yellow sugarcane aphid), 125 nucleotides. RefSeq lists it as uncharacterized. The record is from RefSeq and is a predicted model, not a curated record. The transcript is spliced from 2 exons. NCBI's taxonomy places the organism in Eukaryota, Metazoa, Arthropoda, Insecta, Hemiptera, Aphididae.